GAAGGACAUAAAGAGCACCUUUGACAGCAGCAGAUCGACAAAAUGCCUGAGACAGUUCUCCAUGGCCAUACAUAGGAUAGAUGAAUGCCCCUAUUGUAUUAGGAAACCUUCCAAUAGACGAACUAUAAAGAGAUAAACUCUCCAACCCUUCCCUAGUCUUCAACAUCUUCUUGCACCCCUCCACACUCUCUUGAUCAUAAUCAGCCAAUGCUAUCCCAUACAAA
This 224-nucleotide unclassified non-coding RNA is filed under the name Hevea brasiliensis (rubber tree). Lineage: Eukaryota; Viridiplantae; Streptophyta; Magnoliopsida; Malpighiales; Euphorbiaceae. The record is from RNAcentral.